This 253-nucleotide ribosomal RNA is filed under the name uncultured bacterium. RNAcentral describes it as "partial 16S ribosomal RNA". It matches the Rfam family "Bacterial small subunit ribosomal RNA", at positions 524 to 776 of the family's 1533-position model. The record is from RNAcentral.
UACGAAGGGGGCUAGCGUUGUUCGGAAUUACUGGGCGUAAAGGGCGCGUAGGCGGCCGCUCAAGUCGGGGGUGAAAGCCUGUGGCUUAACCACAGAAUUGCCUUCGAUACUGUUUGGCUUGAGACCGGAAGAGGUGAGUGGAACUGCGAGUGUAGAGGUGAAAUUCGUAGAUAUUCGCAAGAACACCAGUGGCGAAGGCGGCUCACUGGUCCGGUUCUGACGCUGAGGCGCGAAAGCGUGGGGAGCAAACAGG